GAUGAACGCUGGCGGCGUGCCUAACACAUGCAAGUCGAACGAAGCACCUUUUAAGAUUCUUCGGAUGAUUGAUCGGUGACUGAGUGGCGGACGGGUGAGUAACGCGUGGGUAACCUGCCCUGUACAGGGGGAUAACAGUUGGAAACGGCUGCUAAUACCGCAUAAGCGCACGAGAGGACAUCCUCUUGUGUGAAAAACUCCGGUGGUACAGGAUGGGCCCGCGUCUGAUUAGCUGGUUGGCAGGGUAACGGCCUACCAAGGCGACGAUCAGUAGCCGGUCUGAGAGGAUGAACGGCCACAUUGGAACUGAGACACGGUCCAAACUCCUACGGGAGGCAGCAGUGGGGAAUAUUGCACAAUGGGGGAAACCCUGAUGCAGCAACGCCGCGUGAGUGAAGAAGUAUUUCGGUAUGUAAAGCUCUAUCAGCAGGGAAGAUAAUGACGGUACCUGACUAAGAAGCUCCGGCUAAAUACGUGCCAGCCGCCGCCGUAA
RNAcentral lists this ribosomal RNA (493 nucleotides) under uncultured bacterium. Its description in RNAcentral is "partial 16S ribosomal RNA". It matches the Rfam family "Bacterial small subunit ribosomal RNA", at positions 28 to 523 of the family's 1533-position model. The record is from RNAcentral.